This 253-nucleotide ribosomal RNA is filed under the name uncultured bacterium. RNAcentral's name for it is "partial 16S ribosomal RNA". It matches the Rfam family "Bacterial small subunit ribosomal RNA", at positions 524 to 776 of the family's 1533-position model. The record is from RNAcentral.
CACGUAGGGCGCAAGCGUUGUCCGGAAUUAUUGGGCGUAAAGAGCUCGUAGGCGGACUGUUGCGUCCGCUGUGAAAAGCUGGGGCUUAACCCUGGCCUUGCAGUGGAUACGGGCAGACUAGAGGUAGGUAGGGGAGAAUGGAAUUCCCGGUGUAGCGGUGAAAUGCGCAGAUAUCGGGAGGAACACCGGUGGCGAAAGCGUUCUGCUAGACCUGUACUGACACUGAGGGACGAAAGCUAGGGGAGCGAAUGGG